RNAcentral lists this ribosomal RNA (465 nucleotides) under Vreelandella stevensii. Its description in RNAcentral is "partial 16S ribosomal RNA". It matches the Rfam family "Bacterial small subunit ribosomal RNA", at positions 338 to 795 of the family's 1533-position model. Lineage: Bacteria; Pseudomonadati; Pseudomonadota; Gammaproteobacteria; Oceanospirillales; Halomonadaceae. The record is from RNAcentral.
CCUACGGGCGGCAGCAGUGGGGAAUAUUGGACAAUGGGCGAAAGCCUGAUCCAGCCAUGCCGCGUGUGUGAAGAAGGCCUUCGGGUUGUAAAGCACUUUCAGUGGGGAAGAAAGCCUUGGGGCUAAUACCCUCGAGGAAGGACAUCACCCACAGAAGAAGCACCGGCUAACUCCGUGCCAGCAGCCGCGGUAAUACGGAGGGUGCGAGCGUUAAUCGGAAUUACUGGGCGUAAAGCGCGCGUAGGCGGUCUGAUAAGCCGGUUGUGAAAGCCCCGGGCUCAACCUGGGAACGGCAUCCGGAACUGACAGGCUAGAGUGCAGGAGAGGAAGGUAGAAUUCCCGGUGUAGCGGUGAAAUGCGUAGAGAUCGGGAGGAAUACCAGUGGCGAAGGCGGCCUUCUGGACUGACACUGACGCUGAGGUGCGAAAGCGUGGGUAGCAAACAGGAUUAGAUACCCCAGUAGUC